Molecule: long non-coding RNA, 868 nt
Filed under: Manihot esculenta (cassava)
Lineage: Eukaryota; Viridiplantae; Streptophyta; Magnoliopsida; Malpighiales; Euphorbiaceae
Description: long non-coding RNA (MESC_LNC002334)
Source: RNAcentral
CUCAGCUAGCUCUGACAAUGACUGAAGUAGCUGACUCACUGCUGGGGUCCUCGGUUCCUCGGGUCCGAACCUACACAGGUGGACUCAAAUGAGGGACCAAACAUACUAGAACAUGACUCUAAAAACAUUCCCCAAAAACCCCCUAAAACACCUCAAAACAAUCAUGCAAAACAUGCAAAGGAAGGCUGAACAGGGCACUUUCGGUGGCAGGUUCGGCGGCCGAAAGUCCCUCUAGAGCCGAAAGUCGGACAGGUUCGGCGGCACUUUCGGAGGCCGAAAGUGCCCUCCAGAGACGAAAGUCCAUUUUCGGGGGCAUGCUUCGGCAGCCGAAAGGCUUGCCUCCCAGGCAGGUUCGGCGGCCGAAAGUCCUUCGGCUGCCGAACCUGGUUUCUGCCAAAAGGGCAGAAACUCGGCUCACACAUGCUCCCAUGCCUCCCAAACUUGCAAACAUGUAUACCACUCAACCAAAACAAGCAUAAACACAUACAUAAGCUCCUAGGGGCUUCAAACUAUCCUAAACCCUAACUACAACACAUCAAAAGCAACUCAGCAACCUACAUUAUACAUAAACACAACCCAAAACCUAACAAAGCUCAACUAACCUAAGCAUGCAUUUCUACCCCAUGAAUCAACUUAAAACUUGUUUAAAACAUAUAGUGAGCUCAAGAUCGGCCCUUACCUCUUGAAGAUCGAGAGGAAAACGACCCUAACUCGGAGAUGGGAGAGAUUGAGUUUCUUGAACCUCAAAGCUCCAAAACUUGCUUUAUGCUAAAAAAUCUUCAAAACAAAGUUGCAAACUCAUAAAAAUCAUGAAGAAUGGAAGGAAGAAACUCAAGAUCGGCGAGGGACGGCGGAGAGCUCACCUUGG